Molecule: ribosomal RNA, 743 nt
Filed under: Boana nigra
Lineage: Eukaryota; Metazoa; Chordata; Amphibia; Anura; Hylidae
Description: partial small subunit ribosomal RNA
Rfam family: Bacterial small subunit ribosomal RNA
Source: RNAcentral
AACAAGGAGCUGGUAUCAGGCGCAAUUAUUAGCCCACGACACCUAGCUUAGCCACACCCACAAGGGAUAUCAGCAGUAACCAACAUUGAAAAUAAGCGAUAGCUUGACUCAGUAAAAGUAAGUAGGGCGGGCAAAUCUGGUGCCAGCCGCCGCGGUUAUACCAUGUGGCCCAAAUUGAUUUCUUUNCGGCGUAAAGAGUGAUUAAAGCNACUACCCNCACUGUGGUUUAACUAUNUAUUUAGUUGUAAUAAGCUUAUAUUUAGGAAACUCGANAAACGAAAGUUACUACANNNCUCAAAACAACUUGAACUCACGAUAGCUGAGACACAAACUAGGAUUAGAAACCCUACUAUGCUCAGUCACAAACUCUUAAUUACANNNNNNNNCUUCAAACGCCAGGGAACUACGAGCNAAAGCUUAAAACCCAAAGGACUUGACGGUGCCCCAUAUCCCCCUAGAGGAGCCUGUCCUAUAAUCGAUACCCCCCGUUUAACCUCACCAUUUUUAGCCAAAUCAGUCUGUAUACCUCCGUCGUCAGCUUACCACAUGAGUGAUAUAAUAGUAAGUUUAAUGUCCUNNNNNCUCGUCAAUACGUCAGGUCAAGGUGCAGCUAAUAAAAUGGGAAGAGAUGGGCUACACUCUCUAUUUUAGAACACACGAAUGANUANAUAUGAAANACUAAUUUCAAGGNGGAUUUAGUAGUAAAAAAAGACUAGAGCGCUUUUUUUANAAAAGGCCCUGGG